Long non-coding RNA from Sardina pilchardus (European sardine), 780 nucleotides. RefSeq lists it as uncharacterized. The record is from RefSeq and is a predicted model, not a curated record. NCBI's taxonomy places the organism in Eukaryota, Metazoa, Chordata, Actinopteri, Clupeiformes, Clupeidae. The transcript has 2 exons.
GCCACUUCUCCUGUGCCAUCUGUAGGAGAGAGAAAGAGGCUUGUUUGUGUUAUGCUGAAGUACUUUGAAACACAAACAAACACAUGCACAAAAACAAGCAAUCUAUUUAUUUAUAUAGUUCAAAAGUUUAAAACAUGCACUUAACAGUUUAAAAAUGCUCUUAUAUUUGUUUUUUAUUAUUACUUGUGUUGCUCUUAAAAGGCACUUUGUAUUAUCUUUUUAUAUAUAUAAAUAUGUUCUGUCAUGUUCAAUAUCAAGGCCAAUCUAACCUCCAUCAUUUUAACCUUAAGCAGUUCCAAUCUAACACAAUCAGUUUGCAUACCCUUUAAUGGUCGUUCAUGUUCAUAUCAUCUGUUUUUGUCAUACGUGUUGUUUGUUCGUCUUUGUCAGCUUCAUGUCUUUGUGAUGUUUGUAUGUCUUUAAAACACACACAACAAAUGUAUCUUACAGGAAUGGCUUGAGCCUUUAUUUGUUGAUUGGUGACCUGAGUCUUUGGAUAAUCCUGUUAUUUAUUGGGCUUUUGGCCAGUACAAACCAAUUGUUCAUUUUUUUUAUCUGAAGUACAAGUUUGUGUUUUUAAUUAAGUGUUCUUGAUUUAUUAUUAUUAUUAUUAUUGUUAUGUGUGUGUGUGUGUGUGUGUGUCCUUGUAAUGUUUGUAUGUCUGUCAGCUCCAUGUUUAACUAAAUGUUUGCAAAUGGUAGUUAACGUUUCACAUGUGCUUUCAUGCACUGCUUUUCAAAUGAAACACAUUCUAGGUGAAAAAUAAAAGUUGUAAAAGUA